RNAcentral lists this ribosomal RNA (403 nucleotides) under uncultured bacterium. Its description in RNAcentral is "partial 16S ribosomal RNA". It matches the Rfam family "Bacterial small subunit ribosomal RNA", at positions 28 to 526 of the family's 1533-position model. The record is from RNAcentral.
GACGAACGCUGGCGGCGUGCCUAAUACAUGCAAGUCGAACGCAGUGGGGACGGGUGAGUAACACGUGGGUAACCUCCCAUCAGAGGGGAUAACACUUGGCAACAGGUGCUAAACCGAUACUGAUGGAUGGACCCGCGGUGCAUUAGGUAGUUGGUGAGGUAAAGGCGCACCAAGGCCACGCUGCAUAGCCGGUCUGAGAGGUUGAUCGGCCACCCUGGGACUGAGACACGGCCCAGACUCCUACGGGAGGCAGCAGUAGGGAAUCUUGGGCAAUGGACGAAAGUCUGAACGAGCCAUGCCGCGUGUGUGAAGAAGGUUUUCGGAUCGUAAAGCUCUUUUGUUAGGGAAGCGUUAUCUAACCAGAAAGCCAUGGCUAACUCCGUGCCAGCAGCCGCGGUAAUAC